UACAGAGGGGGCAAGCGUUGUCCGGAUUUACUGGGCGUAAAGUGUGCGCAGGCGGCCGAGCAAGUCGAGUGUGAAAGCCCCGAGCUUAACUUGGGAACUGCGCUCGAAACUACUUGGCUAGAGUGUGGCAGAGGGAGGUGGAAUUCCACGUGUAGCGGUGAAAUGCGUAGAGAUGUGGAGGAACACCGAUGGCGAAGGCAGCCUCCUGGGCCAACACUGACGCUCAUGCACGAAAGCGUGGGGAGCAAACAGG
Molecule: ribosomal RNA, 253 nt
Filed under: uncultured bacterium
Lineage: Bacteria
Description: partial 16S ribosomal RNA
Rfam family: Bacterial small subunit ribosomal RNA
Source: RNAcentral